Molecule: ribosomal RNA, 549 nt
Filed under: Diaporthe phaseolorum
Lineage: Eukaryota; Fungi; Ascomycota; Sordariomycetes; Diaporthales; Diaporthaceae
Description: eukaryotic LSU rRNA
Rfam family: 5.8S ribosomal RNA (bases 217-370)
Source: RNAcentral
GUAACAAGGUCUCCGUUGGUGAACCAGCGGAGGGAUCAUUGCUGGAACGCGCCCCAGGCGCACCCAGAAACCCUUUGUGAACUUAUACCUUUUGUUGCCUCGGCGCAUGCUGGCCUCUAGCAGGCCCCUCACCCCGGUGAGGAGACGGCACGCCGGCGGCCAAGUUAACUCUUGUUUUUACACUGAAACUCUGAGAAAAAAACACAAAUGAAUCAAAACUUUCAACAACGGAUCUCUUGGUUCUGGCAUCGAUGAAGAACGCAGCGAAAUGCGAUAAGUAAUGUGAAUUGCAGAAUUCAGUGAAUCAUCGAAUCUUUGAACGCACAUUGCGCCCUCUGGUAUUCCGGAGGGCAUGCCUGUUCGAGCGUCAUUUCAACCCUCAAGCAUUGCUUGGUGUUGGGGCACUGCUUUUAACGAAGCAGGCCCUGAAAUCUAGUGGCGAGCUCGCCAGGACCCCGAGCGUAGUAGUUAAACCCUCGCUCUGGAAGGCCCUGGCGGUGCCCUGCCGUUAAACCCCCAACUUUUGAAAAUUUGACCUCGGAUCAGGUA